GUUGAACGCUGGCGGCGUGCCUAACACAUGCAAGUCGAACGAUGACCGAUGGAAGCUUGCUUCUAUCCUUCUUAGUGGCGCACGGGUGAGUAACGCGUAAUCAACCUGCUCUUCAGAGGGGGACACCAGUUGGAACCGACUGCUAUUCCCCCAUACGAUCUAAUCUCGGCAUCGAGGAUAGUCGGACGGCUGCCUCUACAUUUAAGCUAUCACUGAAUGAGGGGAUUGCGUCGGAUUAGCUAGUUGGAGGGGUAACGGCCCACCAAGGGGAUGAACAGUAGCCGGGCUGGGAGGAAGGACGGCCACAUUGGGACUGAGACACGGCCCAGACGCCUACGGGAGGCAGCAGGGGGGAAACAUCCGAAAUGGAGGAAAGGCUGACGGAGGAACGCCGGGGGGGAGAUGAAGGGCUUCGGGUUGUAAAGGUACGUUAAUCGGGACGAAAGGCCUUAUUGCGAAUAGUGAGAAGGAUUGACGGUACCGGAAUAGAAAGCAACGGCUAACUACGUG
RNAcentral lists this ribosomal RNA (510 nucleotides) under uncultured bacterium. Its description in RNAcentral is "partial 16S ribosomal RNA". It matches the Rfam family "Bacterial small subunit ribosomal RNA", at positions 28 to 507 of the family's 1533-position model. The record is from RNAcentral.